GUAGUCAUAUGCUUGUCUCAAAGAUUAAGCCAUGCAUGUCUAAGUAUAAACAACUUUAUACUGUAAAACUGCGAACGGCUCAUUAUAUCAGCAAUAAUUUAUUUGAUGAUUUCUUACUACAUGGAUAACUGUAGUAAUUCUAGAGCUAAUACAUGCGCAAAGUCCUAACUCGCGAGGGGAGGGAUGUAUUUAUUAGAUACAAAACCAAUGCGGGUUCUGCUCGCCAUUGUGUUGAAUCAUAGUAACUUAUCGAACGCCAUAGCCCUGUGCUGGGCGUAGAUCAUUCAAAUUUCUGCCCUAUCAGCUUUCGACGGUAGUGUAGUGGACUACCGUGGCGUCAACGGGUAACGGAGAAU
This 356-nucleotide ribosomal RNA is filed under the name uncultured fungus. RNAcentral describes it as "SSU rRNA". It matches the Rfam family "Eukaryotic small subunit ribosomal RNA", at positions 20 to 370 of the family's 1831-position model. The record is from RNAcentral. Lineage: Eukaryota; Fungi.